AACCCCUGUCGAACGGGACGAACGGCCCCUGGGCUAAUCACCGGGGGAGUGACGGUACCGUUAAAAGAAGCCACGGCUAACUCUGUGCCAGCAGCCGCGGUAAUACAGAAGUGGCAAGCGUUGUUCGGAAUUACUGGGCGUAAAGGGCGCGUAGGCCGCCAUCUAAGUCAGACAUGAAAUCCCCCGGCUUAACCUGGGAACUGCGUCUGAUACUGGACGGCUCUAGUUUGGGAUAGGGAUGUACAAUUCCACGUGUAUCGGUGAAAUGCGUAUAUAUCUGGAGGAAAACCGGUGGCGAAAGCGGCAUCCUGGACCAACACUGACACUGAGGCGCGAAAGCGUGGGGAGCAAACAGGAUUAUAUACCCUGGUAGUCCACGCCGUAAACAAUGGGCACUAUGUGCCGGGGGGAGCGACACCGUCUGUGCCGCAGCUAACGCGUUAAGUGCCCCGCCUGGGGAGUACAGCCGCAAGGCUGAAACUCAAAGGAAUUGACGGGGGCCCGCACAAGCGGUGGAGCAUGUGGUUUAAUUCUAAGCAACGCGAAGAACCUUACCUGGGUUUGACAUGCACGUGAAACCCCUGUGAAAGCACGGGCCUCCUUCUGGACACAUGCACAGGUGCUGCAUGGCUGUCGUCACCUCUUGUCUUGAGAUGUUGGGUUAAGUCUCGCAACGAGCGCAACCCUUG
RNAcentral lists this ribosomal RNA (689 nucleotides) under uncultured Pelobacter sp. RNAcentral describes it as "bacterial SSU rRNA". It matches the Rfam family "Bacterial small subunit ribosomal RNA", at positions 428 to 1107 of the family's 1533-position model. The record is from RNAcentral. Lineage: Bacteria; Pseudomonadati; Thermodesulfobacteriota; Desulfuromonadia; Desulfuromonadales; Desulfuromonadaceae.